This 307-nucleotide unclassified non-coding RNA is filed under the name plant metagenome. Its description in RNAcentral is "partial contains 5.8S ribosomal RNA, internal transcribed spacer 2, and large subunit ribosomal RNA". The stretch from base 1 to 106 matches the Rfam family "5.8S ribosomal RNA", at positions 50 to 154 of the family's 154-position model. The record is from RNAcentral.
GAAAUGCGAUAAGUAAUGCGAAUUGCAGAAUUUCCGUGAGUCAUCGAAUCUUUGAACGCACAUUGCGCCCAUUGGUAUUCCGAUGGGCAUGCCUGUUCGAGCGUCAUUUCAACCAUCAAGCCCCCGGGCUUGUGUUGGGGACCUGCGGCUGCCCGCAGGCCCUGAAAACCAGUGGCGGGCUCGCUGUCACACCGAGCGUAGUAGCAAUCACCUCGCUCAGGGCGUGCUGCGGGUUCCGGCCGUUAAACAGCCUUACAAAACCCAAGGUUGACCUCGGAUCAGGUAGGAAGACCCGCUGAACUUAAGC